RNAcentral lists this unclassified non-coding RNA (250 nucleotides) under uncultured fungus. Its description in RNAcentral is "partial contains 5.8S rRNA and ITS2". Lineage: Eukaryota; Fungi. The record is from RNAcentral.
AACGCAUAUUGCGCUUGGUGCAAACCAAGCACGCCUGUUGGAGUGGCAGCCCCCUUCAACUCGCCCCGCCCACAUGCCCAGCGCUUCACUGCGCUGCAGCGGGCGGCAGGCAGCUGUCGCGAUGAGCAAGCCUCUACGAGGAUAGCCGUCGCCGAGCUGUCAACUAUUGUCGCCCUGUCACGGCAUUACGCAAGGGCAACCUUGCGUGGCUUCUGCCCUCCAAUCAGACGGGGCUACCCGCUGAAUUUAA